This 476-nucleotide ribosomal RNA is filed under the name uncultured bacterium. RNAcentral describes it as "bacterial SSU rRNA". It matches the Rfam family "Bacterial small subunit ribosomal RNA", at positions 33 to 507 of the family's 1533-position model. The record is from RNAcentral.
GACACGCUGGCGGCGUGCCUAACACAUGCAAGUCGAACGGAGAGGACAUGAAGUAUUUCGGUACGGAAUGCUCUCUUAGUGGCGAACGGGUGAGUAACACGUGGGCAACCUGCCCCAGACUGGGGGAUAACAUUGUGAAAACAGUGCUAAUACCGCAUGACAGGGUUCCGGGCAUCCGGGACCCUUGAAAGGAGAAAUCCGGUCAGGGAUGGGCCCGCGUCCAAUUAGCUAGUUGGCGGGGUAACGGCCCACCAAGGCGACGAUUGGUAGCCGAACUGAGAGGUUGAUCGGCCACAUUGGGACUGAGACACGGCCCAGACUCCUACGGGAGGCAGCAGUGGGGAAUAUUGGGCAAUGGGCGAAAGCCUGACCCAGCGACGCCGCGUGAAGGAUGAAGGUCUUCGGAUUGUAAACUUCUUUGAUCAGGGAAGAAAGAAAUGACGGUACCUGAAAAACAAGCCACGGCUAACUACGUG